RNAcentral lists this ribosomal RNA (534 nucleotides) under uncultured Glomeromycotina. RNAcentral describes it as "SSU rRNA". It matches the Rfam family "Eukaryotic small subunit ribosomal RNA", at positions 558 to 1098 of the family's 1831-position model. Lineage: Eukaryota; Fungi; Glomeromycota. The record is from RNAcentral.
AGUCUGGUGCCAGCAGCCGCGGUAAUUCCAGCUCCAAUAGCGUAUAUUAAAGUUGUUGCAGUUAAAAAGCUCGUAGUUGAAUUUCGGGGUUCUACCGUUGGUCGGGCUUUGUCUGUACUGGUGUGUAGAAUUUCUACCUUCUGGGGAACCAUCAUGCUAUUAAUUUAGCGUGGUGGGAAACCAGGACCUUUACCUUGAAAAAAUUAGUGUGUUCAAAGCAGGCUUAUGUCUGAAUACAUUAGCGUGGAAUAAUAGAAUAGGACGGUGGUCCUGUUUUGUUGGUUUCUGAAUCACCGUAAUGAUUAAUAGGGAUAGUUGGGGGCAUUAGUAUUCAAUUGUCAGAGGUGAAAUUCUUGGAUUUAUUGAAGACUAACUACUGCGAAAGCAUUUGCCAAGGAUGUUUUCAUUAAUCAAGAACGAAAGUUAGGGGAUCGAAGACGAUCAGAUACCGUCGUAGUCUUAACCAUAAACUAUGCCGACUAGGGAUCGGACGAUGUUAAUUUUUCUUGACUCGUUCGGCGCCUUACGGGAAAC